RNAcentral lists this ribosomal RNA (239 nucleotides) under uncultured bacterium. Its description in RNAcentral is "partial 16S ribosomal RNA". It matches the Rfam family "Bacterial small subunit ribosomal RNA", at positions 524 to 751 of the family's 1533-position model. The record is from RNAcentral.
UACGAAGGGGGCGAGCGUUGUUCGGAUUUACUGGGCGUAAAGGGCGCGCAGGCGGCUCAGAAAGUCGGAUGUGAAAGCCCUGGGCUUAACCUAGGAAGUGCAUUCGAAACUUUCUGAGCUGGAGUUCUGGAGAGGAAGGCGGAAUUCUCGGUGUAGAGGUGGAAAUUCGUAGAUAUCGAGAGGAACGACCGUGGCGGAAGGGCGGCCUUACCUGGGACCAUGUGUACUGAGCGACCCUG